RNAcentral lists this ribosomal RNA (498 nucleotides) under uncultured bacterium. RNAcentral describes it as "partial 16S ribosomal RNA". It matches the Rfam family "Bacterial small subunit ribosomal RNA", at positions 28 to 507 of the family's 1533-position model. The record is from RNAcentral.
GACGAACGCUGGCGGCGUGCCUAAUACAUGCAAGUCGAACGAGAGCGACCGGUGCUUGCACUGGUCAAUCUAGUGGCGAACGGGUGAGUAACACGUGGGUAACCUGCCCAUCAGAGGGGGAUAACAUCCGGAAACGGAUGCUAAAACCGCAUAGGUCUUCGAACCGCAUGGUUUGAAGAGGAAAAGAGGCGCAAGCUUCUGCUGAUGGAUGGACCCGCGGUGCAUUAGCUAGUUGGUGAGGUAACGGCUCACCAAGGCCGUGAUGCAUAGCCGACCUGAGGGGGUGAUCGGCCACAAUGGGACCGAGGAACGGCCCAAACUCCUACGGGAGGCAGCAGUAGGGAAUCUUCCGCAAUGGACGGAAGUCUGACGGAGCAACGGCGCGUGAGUGAAGAAGGUUUUCGGAUCGGAAAACUCUGUUGUUAGGGAAGAACAAGUGCUAGAGUAACUGUUAGCGCCUUGACGGUAUCUAACCAGAAAGCCACGGCUAACUACGUG